UACGGGGGGUGCGAGCGUUGUUCGGAAUCACUGGGCGUAAAGCGCGCGUAGGCGGAUUGUUAAGUCAGGGGUGAAAUGCCGAGGCUCAACCUCGGAACUGCCUUUGAUACUGGCAAUCUUGAGUCCGGGAGAGGUGAGUGGAACUCCUAGUGUAGAGGUGAAAUUCGUAGAUAUUCGCAAGAACACCAGUGGCGAAGGCGGCUCACUGGCCCGGUACUGACGCUGAGGUGCGAAAGCGUGGGGAGCAAACAGG
RNAcentral lists this ribosomal RNA (253 nucleotides) under uncultured bacterium. RNAcentral describes it as "partial 16S ribosomal RNA". It matches the Rfam family "Bacterial small subunit ribosomal RNA", at positions 524 to 776 of the family's 1533-position model. The record is from RNAcentral.